GAAGUACUCCCUCCGUCCUAAAAUUCUUGUCUUAGAUUUGUCUAAAUACGGAUGUAUCAGAUACAUCCGUAUUUAGACAAAUCUAAGACAAGAAUUUUGGGGCGGAGGGAGUAUAUU
Triticum aestivum (bread wheat) is the source of this 117-nucleotide non-coding RNA. The record is from Rfam. NCBI's taxonomy places the organism in Eukaryota, Viridiplantae, Streptophyta, Magnoliopsida, Poales, Poaceae.